Molecule: ribosomal RNA, 510 nt
Filed under: uncultured bacterium
Lineage: Bacteria
Description: partial 16S ribosomal RNA
Rfam family: Bacterial small subunit ribosomal RNA
Source: RNAcentral
GACGAACGCUGGCGGCGUGCUUAACACAUGCAAGUCGAACGAAGAGCGAUGGAAGCUUGCUUCUCUCAAUCUUAGUGGCGAACGGGUGAGUAACGCGUAAUCAACCUGCCCUUCAGAGGGGGACAACAGUUGGAAACGACUGCUAAUACCGCAUACGAUCUAACCUCGGCAUCGAGGAUAGAUGAAAGGUGGCCUCUACAUGUAAGCUAUCACUGAAGGAGGGGAUUGCGUCUGAUUAGCUAGUUGGAGGGGUAACGGCCCACCAAGGCGAUGAUCAGUAGCCGGUCUGAGAGGAUGAACGGCCACAUUGGGACUGAGACACGGCCCAGACUCCUACGGGAGGCAGCAGUGGGGAAUCUUCCGCAAUGGACGAAAGUCUGACGGAGCAACGCCGCGUGAGUGAUGACGGCCUUCGGGUUGUAAAGCUCUGUUAAUCGGGACGAAAGGCCUUCUUGCGAAUAGUGAGAAGGAUUGACGGUACCGGAAUAGAAAGCCACGGCUAACUACGUG